RNAcentral lists this ribosomal RNA (1228 nucleotides) under uncultured Halomonas sp. RNAcentral's name for it is "bacterial SSU rRNA". It matches the Rfam family "Bacterial small subunit ribosomal RNA", at positions 148 to 1377 of the family's 1533-position model. Lineage: Bacteria; Pseudomonadati; Pseudomonadota; Gammaproteobacteria; Oceanospirillales; Halomonadaceae. The record is from RNAcentral.
CUGGGGAAACCCAGGCUAAUACCGCAUACGUCCUACGGGAGAAAGGGGGCUUCGGCUCCCGCUAUUGGAUGAGCCUAUGUCGGAUUAGCUAGUUGGUGAGGUAAAGGCUCACCAAGGCAACGAUCCGUAGCUGGUCUGAGAGGAUGAUCAGCCACAUCGGGACUGAGACACGGCCCGAACUCCUACGGGAGGCAGCAGUGGGGAAUAUUGGACAAUGGGGGCAACCCUGAUCCAGCCAUGCCGCGUGUGUGAAGAAGGCCCUCGGGUUGUAAAGCACUUUCAGCGAGGAAGAACGCCUGGCGGUUAAUACCCGCCAGGAAAGACAUCACUCGCAGAAGAAGCACCGGCUAACUCCGUGCCAGCAGCCGCGGUAAUACGGAGGGUGCAAGCGUUAAUCGGAAUUACUGGGCGUAAAGCGCGCGUAGGUGGCUUGAUAAGCCGGUUGUGAAAGCCCCGGGCUCAACCUGGGAACGGCAUCCGGAACUGUCAAGCUAGAGUGCAGGAGAGGAAGGUAGAAUUCCCGGUGUAGCGGUGAAAUGCGUAGAGAUCGGGAGGAAUACCAGUGGCGAAGGCGGCCUUCUGGACUGACACUGACACUGAGGUGCGAAAGCGUUGGUAGCAAACAGGAUUAGAUACCCUGGUAGUCCACGCCGUAAACGAUGUCGACCAGCCGUUGGGUGCCUAGCGCACUUUGUGGCGAAGUUAACGCGAUAAGUCGACCGCCUGGGGAGUACGGCCGCAAGGUUAAAACUCAAAUGAAUUGACGGGGGCCCGCACAAGCGGUGGAGCAUGUGGUUUAAUUCGAUGCAACGCGAAGAACCUUACCUACCCUUGACAUCCUGCGAACCCGGAAGAGAUUCCGGGGUGCCUUCGGGAACGCAGAGACAGGUGCUGCAUGGCUGUCGUCAGCUCGUGUUGUGAAAUGUUGGGUUAAGUCCCGUAACGAGCGCAACCCUUGUCCUUAUUUGCCAGCGAGUAAUGUCGGGAACUCUAAGGAGACUGCCGGUGACAAACCGGAGGAAGGUGGGGACGACGUCAAGUCAUCAUGGCCCUUACGGGUAGGGCUACACACGUGCUACAAUGGCCGGUACAAAGGGCGGCGAGCUCGCGAGAGUCAGCGAAUCCCUUAAAGCCGGUCUCAGUCCGGAUCGGAGUCUGCGACUCGACUCCGUGAAGUCGGAAUCGCUAGUAAUCGUGAAUCAGAAUGUCACGGUGAAUACGUUCCCGG